ACUCCUACGGGAGGCAGCAGUGGGGAAUAUUGCACAAUGGGCGCAAGCCUGAUGCAGCAACGCCGCGUGAGCGAUGAAGGCCUUCGGGUCGUAAAGCUCUGUCCUCAAGGAAGAAUAAAUGACGGUACUUGAGGAGGAACGCCCGGCUAACUACGUGCCAGCAGCCGCGGUAAGUACGUAGGGGCAAGCGUUAUCCGGAAUCACGUGGGCGUAAAGGGUGCGUAGGUCGGUUUUUCAAGUCAGAAGUGAAAGGCUAUGGCUCAACCAUAGUAAGCUUUUAGAAACUGUUAAACUUGAGUGCAGGAGAGGAAAGUGGAAUUCCUAGUGUAGAGUG
Molecule: ribosomal RNA, 334 nt
Filed under: uncultured bacterium
Lineage: Bacteria
Description: bacterial SSU rRNA
Rfam family: Bacterial small subunit ribosomal RNA
Source: RNAcentral